GGUGUAGCAGAAGGUUUAACUGAGCAAAGUUCAUUUAGGUUCCUGCCACUGAUUACAUUUGUAGUCACCAAAGUGCAGAAUGAAACUAAAAUGUCCUGAGAAGACUAUGCAGGCCUCACAGCUUUAGAGCUGAAGCAGCACGGCAAUGGAGCAGCUGAAUGAGAUUUCCUUUCAUUAGAGGCUAAAAUGGUGGCUGAAAAUGUCUUUAGGCACUAGCAAAACCAAAUUGCUUAACUGGACAGUGGCACUCCCUCUGCAGCAAGACAGCGAGCAAACUCCUGGGCAGCACUGGCACUGCCAUCCACAGGCCUCCUCUUCUCAAUUGCCAUUCCUGAAAAUCUCAGCAGUGACUGCCUGCACGUCCCUGUGGACAAGCAGGGAGUUCAGACCCUGUGAUGGUGUGAACAUCCCAGUGAUCUGUUUUUUCCUGCUCUUUGACUGCAAGCUUCCUCUGCAGCAAGAGGCAA
This is a long non-coding RNA of Melospiza melodia melodia, 467 nucleotides long. RefSeq lists it as uncharacterized. The transcript has 3 exons. The record is from RefSeq and is a predicted model, not a curated record. Lineage: Eukaryota; Metazoa; Chordata; Aves; Passeriformes; Passerellidae.